Molecule: ribosomal RNA, 466 nt
Filed under: uncultured bacterium
Lineage: Bacteria
Description: partial 16S ribosomal RNA
Rfam family: Bacterial small subunit ribosomal RNA
Source: RNAcentral
GGUGAACGCUGGCGGCGUGCUUAACACAUGCAAGUCGAACGAUGAAGCCCAGCUUGCUGGGUGGAUUAGUGGCGAACGGGUGAGUAACACGUGAGUAACCUGCCCUUGACUCUGGGAUAAGCCUGGGAAACUGGGUCUAAUACUGGAUAUGACUUCUCAUCGCAUGGUGGGGGGUGGAAAGAUUUAUUGGUCUUGGAUGGACUCGCGGCCUAUCAGCUUGUUGGUGAGGUAAUGGCUCACCAAGGCGACGACGGGUAGCCGGCCUGAGAGGGUGACCGGCCACACUGGGACUGAGACACGGCCCAGACUCCUACGGGAGGCAGCAGUGGGGAAUAUUGCACAAUGGGCGCAAGCCUGAUGCAGCGACGCCGCGUGAGGGAUGACGGCCUUCGGGUUGUAAACCUCUUUCAGUAGGGAAGAAGCGAGAGUGACGGUACCUGCAGAAGAAGCGCCGGCUAACUACGUG